AUGAGGUCACCUUGGAAAGGGAGAACCUAUCCCAGGGACCCUUGGGGAUCCUCGCUGCCCUUUAUUGGCCCAACUCAAGCCUUUCCUGUAAAUGUUAACCCGAGGGGGAAUAGGCCGGCAGCCUGGUACCCCUGGGAGGCCAGUGAUUUAAAAGAGCUCAAAAAGGCAGUGGCAGAGGAUGGCUCGAACUCCUCGUGGGCGGAGACUACUCUCCAGGGCCUGGCUCAUCAACCUUGUAUGACCCAAGACUGGAAGAUGUUAUGUAAGACAGUGCUCCCCAGUAACACCUAUAUCAAAUGGUGUGCCUUUCUCAAGGAAGAGUGUCAUGCUCAGGCAAAAAGAAAUCAAGCUGCCAACCCUGCUUUCCCCGGUGACUUUUGGGAUGUUGUCAGGGACGGCAGAUCAAUGGAGUACGGGACCUCAACAGGCCACCAUUCCUGCUCCUUAUACAGAUCAGGUACGGUCCAUAUGCUUGGCUGCCUGGAAAAAGCUUGCAGAGGGCCCCAGUGAGCCCCCUAUAUUGGGCAUCAUUCAAAAAAAUAAUGACGAUCUCUCCACCUUCAUAGAUCGGGUGGAAAAGAGUAUACAGAGAAAAUUCCC
This 600-nucleotide long non-coding RNA is filed under the name Capra hircus (goat). RNAcentral describes it as "lncRNA (ENSCHIG00010001035.1)". The record is from RNAcentral. Lineage: Eukaryota; Metazoa; Chordata; Mammalia; Artiodactyla; Bovidae.